CGGAUUGUAGUCUGCAACUCGACUGCAUGAAGCUGGAAUCGCUAGUAAUCGCGGAUCAGAAUGCCGCGGUGAAUACGUUCCCGGGUCUUGUACACACCGCCCGUCACACCAUGGGAGUCAGUAACGCCCGAAGUCAGUGACCGAACCGAGAGGACGGAGCUGCCGAAGGCGGGACGGAUAACUGGGGUGAAGUCGUAACAAGGUACC
RNAcentral lists this ribosomal RNA (207 nucleotides) under uncultured bacterium. RNAcentral describes it as "partial 16S ribosomal RNA". It matches the Rfam family "Bacterial small subunit ribosomal RNA", at positions 1294 to 1500 of the family's 1533-position model. The record is from RNAcentral.